This 694-nucleotide ribosomal RNA is filed under the name uncultured Snodgrassella sp. RNAcentral describes it as "bacterial SSU rRNA". It matches the Rfam family "Bacterial small subunit ribosomal RNA", at positions 662 to 1357 of the family's 1533-position model. The record is from RNAcentral. Lineage: Bacteria; Pseudomonadati; Pseudomonadota; Betaproteobacteria; Neisseriales; Neisseriaceae.
UAGAAUUCCACGUGUAGCAGUGAAAUGCGUAGAGAUGUGGAGGAAUACCGAUGGCGAAGGCAGCCUCCUGGGAUAACACUGACGUUCAUGCUCGAAAGCGUGGGUAGCAAACAGGAUUAGAUACCCUGGUAGUCCACGCCCUAAACGAUGACAAUUAGCUGUUGGGACACUAGAUGUUUUAGUAGCGAAGCUAACGCGUGAAACUGUCCGCCUGGGGAGUACGGUCGCAAGAUUAAAACUCAAAGGAAUUGACGGGGACCCGCACAAGCGGUGGAUGAUGUGGAUUAAUUCGAUGCAACGCGAAGAACCUUACCUGGUCUUGACAUGUACGGAAUCUCUUAGAGAUAGGAGAGUGCCUUCGGGAGCCGUAACACAGGUGCUGCAUGGCUGUCGUCAGCUCGUGUCGUGAGAUGUUGGGUUAAGUCCCGCAACGAGCGCAACCCUUGUCAUUAGUUGCCAUCAUUAAGUUGGGCACUCUAAUGAGACUGCCGGUGACAAACCGGAGGAAGGUGGGGAUGACGUCAAGUCCUCAUGGCCCUUAUGACCAGGGCUUCACACGUCAUACAAUGGUCGGUACAGAGGGUAGCGAAGCCGCGAGGUGAAGCCAAUCUCAGAAAGCCGAUCGUAGUCCGGACUGCACUCUGCAACUCGAGUGCAUGAAGUCGGAAUCGCUAGUAAUCGCAGGUCAGCAUAG